UAUUCAAACUUCGGACCCGGCCGGGUUUACAGUUCGGGCUUCUCGCCCACGCCGUCGAUCGGCGUUUGGGGCCGACUCGCAUUCUCAUUCCUCUGUCGCGUGGUUUUCAAGCGCGUUCGCGAUCGGCAAGAGGCAGCAGACGGCAAUGGAGUCGGUCGAGGUGCUGGUGGCGCACAUCCAGGGCUUGUUCAGGAGUUCCGACGAGGUUUCGCAACUGCACUCCCUUCUCAAGCAGUCCGAGGACGCUCUCCGUUCCCAUGCAGACCGACUCGUCCCCUUCCUCUCCCAGAUCGACCCUUCCAUCCACACCCUAGGCUACCUUUUCCUACUGGAAGCUUAUUCAUCUGAGUCAAUUUCAAGGGAGGAGACUUCUGGUUUUCUUUUGUCUGUUGUUGAAUUUAUCAACUCAUGCUCAACAGAACAGAUACGCCUUGCACCAGAAAAGUUCAUUUCUGUUUGUAAGAUUUUCAAGGAUCAGGUUAUGCAGCUUGGGGUUCCCAUGCAAGGAAUAGCUCCCAUGCGGAUGGCUAUCCGUAAACUUCAAACUUCCACAGAGCAAUUAACUACUUUACAUUCAGAUUAUCUUCUUCUGUGCCUUCUAGCAAAGUGCUAUAAAGCUGGACUAAGUAUUCUGGAUGAUGACAUCUUCGAGGUUGAUCACCUGAGAGAUCAUUUCCUCUAUUGUUAUUAUGGGGGAAUGAUAAACAUUGGAUUAAAGCGAUUUGAGAAAGCAUUGGAGUGCCUUCACAAUGCUGUUACUGCACCAAUGACCACUUUGAAUGCAAUUGCUGUUGAAGCUUACAAAAAGUAUAUUUUGGUUUCUCUCAUCCUUAAUGGACAGGUUCCAUCAUUCCCAAAGUAUACAUCUUCUGCUGCUCUCAGGAAUCUGAAGAGUUAUACUCAGCCUUAUGUAGAUCUUGCUAAUUCCUAUGCCAGAGGGAAAUCUUCUGAAUUAGAGGCGUGUGUCCAAACUAACCAGGAGAAAUUUCAAUCUGACAGCAAUCUUGGUUUAGUGAAACAAGUACUAUCUUCCCUGUACAAGCACAAUAUUCAGAGACUGACGCAAACUUACUUGACCCUGUCGCUCCAAGAUAUAGCAAAUGUUGCCCAACUGAACAGCCCUAAGGAAGCUGAGAUGCGUGUACUUCAGAUGAUCCAGGAUGGAGAGAUAUUUGCUACUAUUAACCAAAAGGAUGGAAUGGUGAGCUUUCAUGAGGAUCCUGAGCAAUACAAAACUUGUGGGAUGACAGAACAUAUUGAUUUUUCAAUCCAAAGGUUAAUGGUAUUGUCAAAGAAGCUGAGCUCCUUGGACGAACAUCUUUCAUGCGAUCCUACAUAUCUAUCAAAGGUGAGUCAAAGAUUGGUAAAGAACGACAGAGGUUUGAUUUUGAUGAGUUUGAUUCUGUUCCACACAAAUUCAUGUGAGCAUGAGCUGCAGUACCAGUGGCAGGGAAGUUUUCCGCAGCUAAUGCUUUAACUUUAUCGUGGGAAAUACUGCAGGCAGCGUGCUUAUCUUUUCAUAAGAAAGGGAUCUCCGAAUGGUGUUGUGCGACAUUGCCCUCAAACCAUUUUGAGCAGCAGCAUCAUGAUUGUUCUUGAGAAGAGAGUGACAAUGAGAAGGUGAUAGAGGAUACGAAGGCGGAGUGACUGAGAGGAGAAGAUGGAAUGCAAGCCUCACUGUCCAGGGCCGCUAUGCAUAAUAUUCAAUCAAAUCCUUUGAUUGUAAUGAGAUUAAGAAUUUUUGCUUGAAUAAAAAAACUGAGGUUGUUAUUGCUAUGUCCAAAUUAUGAAUUUUAGUUACGAGUUGUUUCAAAUUAAUUGCAUUUGCACAUUCUGAUAUUGGCGAUGUUCAUGACACUA
This is an RNA transcript of Zingiber officinale, 1860 nucleotides long. It is a transcript of the gene named COP9 signalosome complex subunit 3-like, with no coding region annotated. NCBI's taxonomy places the organism in Eukaryota, Viridiplantae, Streptophyta, Magnoliopsida, Zingiberales, Zingiberaceae. The record is from RefSeq and is a predicted model, not a curated record. The transcript is spliced from 12 exons.